UCCUGGCUCAGGAUGAACGCUGGCGGCGUGCUUAACACAUGCAAGUCGAACGGAGUUUUAAGCGGAAGUUUUCGGAUGGAAGUUUAAGAACUUAGUGGCGGACGGGUGAGUAACGCGUGGGUAACCUGCCUCAUACAGGGGGAUAACAGUUAGAAAUGACUGCUAAGACCGCAUAAUAUAGCGAAACCGCAUGAUUUUGCUAUCAAAUAUUUAUAGGUAUGAGAUGGGCCCGCGUCUGAUUAGCUAGUUGGUGGGGUAAAAGCCUACCAAGGCGACGAUCAGUAGCCGGCUUGAGAGAGUGACCGGCCACAUUGGGACUGAGACACGGCCCAAACUCCUACGGGAGGCAGCAGUGGGGAAUAUUGGACAAUGGGGGAAACCCUGAUCCAGCGACGCCCGCGUGAGUGAAGAAGUAUUUCGGUAUGUAAAGCUCUAUCAGCAGGGAAGAUAAUGACAGUACCUGACUAAGAAGCCCCGGCUAACUACGUGCCAGCAGCUGC
RNAcentral lists this ribosomal RNA (500 nucleotides) under uncultured bacterium. Its description in RNAcentral is "bacterial SSU rRNA". It matches the Rfam family "Bacterial small subunit ribosomal RNA", at positions 17 to 518 of the family's 1533-position model. The record is from RNAcentral.